AACGAACGCUGGCGGCAUGCCUAACACAUGCAAGUCGAACGAGACCUUCGGGUCUAGUGGCGCACGGGUGCGUAACGCGUGGGAACCUGCCCUUAGGUUCGGAAUAACUCCCCGAAAGGGGUGCUAAUACCGGAUAAUGUCUUCGGACCAAAGAUUUAUCGCCUUUGGAUGGGCCCGCGUUGGAUUAGCUAGUUGGUAGGGUAAAAGCCUACCAAGGCGACGAUCCAAAGCUGGUCUGAGAGGAUGAUCAGCCACACUGGGACUGAGACACGGCCCAGACUCCUACGAGAGGCAGCAGUAGGGAAUAUUGGACAAUGGGCGAAAGCCUGAUCCAGCAACGCCGCGUGAGUGAUGAAGGCCUUAGGGUUGUAAAGCUCUUUUACCCGGGAUGAUAAUGACAGUACCGGGAUAAUAAGCUCCGGCUAACUCCGUG
Molecule: ribosomal RNA, 433 nt
Filed under: uncultured bacterium
Lineage: Bacteria
Description: partial 16S ribosomal RNA
Rfam family: Bacterial small subunit ribosomal RNA
Source: RNAcentral